CAGCAGCCGCCACGGGAAUACGGAGGGUGCGAGCGUUAAUCGGAAUUACUGGGCGUAAAGAGUGCGUAGGUGGUUAAUUAAGCUAUCUGUGAAAUUCCUGGGCUUAACCUGGGCAGGUCAGAUAAUACUGGUUAACUCGAGUAUGGGAGAGGGUAGUGGAAUUUCCGGUGUAGCGGUGAAAUGCGUAGAGAUCGGAAGGAACACCAGUGGCGAAGGCGGCUACCUGGCCUAAUACUGACACUGAGGCACGAAAGCGUGGGGAGCAAACAGGAUUAGAUACCCCAGUAGUCCCUGUCUCUUAUAC
RNAcentral lists this ribosomal RNA (304 nucleotides) under uncultured bacterium. RNAcentral describes it as "partial 16S ribosomal RNA". It matches the Rfam family "Bacterial small subunit ribosomal RNA", at positions 509 to 807 of the family's 1533-position model. The record is from RNAcentral.